RNAcentral lists this ribosomal RNA (446 nucleotides) under uncultured bacterium. RNAcentral's name for it is "partial 16S ribosomal RNA". It matches the Rfam family "Bacterial small subunit ribosomal RNA", at positions 338 to 795 of the family's 1533-position model. The record is from RNAcentral.
CCUACGGGUGGCAGCAGUCGAGAAUCAUUCACAAUGGGGGAAACCCUGAUGGUGCGACGCCGCGUGGGGGAAUGAAGGUCUUCGGAUUGUAAACCCCUGUCAUGUGGGAGCAAAUUAAAAAGAUAGUACCACAAGAGGAAGAGACGGCUAACUCUGUGCCAGCAGCCGCGGUAAUACAGAGGUCUCAAGCGUUGUUCGGAAUCACUGGGCGUAAAGCGUGCGUAGGCUGUUUCGUAAGUCGUGUGUGAAAGGCGCGGGCUCAACCCGCGGACGGCACAUGAUACUGCGAGACUAGAGUAAGGGAGGGGAAACCGGAAUUCUCGGUGUAGCAGUGAAAUGCGUAGAUAUCGAGAGGAACACUCGUGGCGAAGGCGGGUUCCUGGACAUUAACUGACGCUGAGGCACGAAGGCCAGGGGAGCGAAAGGGAUUAGAUACCCUUGUAGUC